Molecule: ribosomal RNA, 622 nt
Filed under: uncultured Actinomycetales bacterium
Lineage: Bacteria; Bacillati; Actinomycetota; Actinomycetes; Actinomycetales
Description: bacterial SSU rRNA
Rfam family: Bacterial small subunit ribosomal RNA
Source: RNAcentral
GUACUCGAGUGGCGAACGGGUGAGUAACACGUGGGUGAUCUGCCCUGCACUUCGGGAUAAGCUUGGGAAACUGGGUCUAAUACCGGAUAGGAGCCAUCUUUAGUGUGGUGGUUGGAAAGUUUUUUCGGUGUAGGAUGAGCUCGCGGCCUAUCAGCUUGUUGGUGGGGUAAUGGCCUACCAAGGCGGCGACGGGUAGCCGGCCUGAGAGGGUGUACGGCCACAUUGGGACUGAGAUACGGCCCAGACUCCUACGGGAGGCAGCAGUGGGGAAUAUUGCACAAUGGGCGCAAGCCUGAUGCAGCGACGCCGCGUGGGGGAUGAAGGCCUUCGGGUUGUAAACUCCUUUCGCUAGGGACGAAGCUUUGUUGUGACGGUACCUAGAUAAGAAGCACCGGCUAACUACGUGCCAGCAGCCGCGGUAAUACGUAGGGUGCGAGCGUUGUCCGGAACUACUGGGCGUAAAGGGCUCGUAGGUGGUUUGUCGCGUCGUCUGUGAAAUUCUGGGGCUUAGCUCCGGGCGUGCAGGCGAUACGGGCAUAACUUGAGUGCUGUAGGGGUAACUGGAAUUCCUGGUGUAGCGGUGAAAUGCGCAGAUAUCAGGAGGAACACCGAUGGCGAAGGC